Molecule: ribosomal RNA, 730 nt
Filed under: uncultured bacterium
Lineage: Bacteria
Description: bacterial SSU rRNA
Rfam family: Bacterial small subunit ribosomal RNA
Source: RNAcentral
AACAGGAUUAGAUACCCUGGUAGUCCACGCCGUAAACGAUGUCGACUUGGAGGUUGUGCCCUUGAGGCGUGGCUUCCGGAGCUAACGCGUUAAGUCGACCGCCUGGGGAGUACGGCCGCAAGGUUAAAACUCAAAUGAAUUGACGGGGGCCCGCACAAGCGGUGGAGCAUGUGGUUUAAUUCGAUGCAACGCGAAGAACCUUACCUGGUCUUGACAUCCACGGAAGUUUUCAGAGAUGAGAAUGCGCCUUCGGGAACCGUGAGACAGGUGCUGCAUGGCUGUCGUCAGCUCGUGUUGUGAAAUGUUGGGUUAAGUCCCGCAACGAGCGCAACCCUUAUCCUUUGUUGCCAGCGGUCCGGCCGGGAACUCAAAGGAGACUGCCAGUGAUAAACUGGUGGAAGGUGGGGAUGACGUCAAGUCAUCAUGGCCCUUACGACCAGGGCUACACACGUGCUACAAUGGCGCAUACAAAGAGAAGCGACCUCGCGAGAGCAAGCGGACCUCAUAAAGUGCGUCGUAGUCCGGAUUGGAGUCUGCAACUCGACUCCAUGAAGUCGGAAUCGCUAGUAAUCGUGGAUCAGAAUGCCACGGUGAAUACGUUCCCGGGCCUUGUACACACCGCCCGUCACACCAUGGGAGUGGGUUGCAAAAGAAGUAGGUAGCUUAACCUUCGGGAGGGCGCUUACCACUUUGUGAUUCAUGACUGGGGUGAAGUCGUAACAAGGUAACC